RNAcentral lists this unclassified non-coding RNA (177 nucleotides) under uncultured Phlebiella. RNAcentral describes it as "sequence contains ITS2". The record is from RNAcentral. Lineage: Eukaryota; Fungi; Basidiomycota; Agaricomycetes; Corticiales; Corticiaceae.
AGUACUCAACUUGCAGCUUUGUUGCUUGCAAGCUUGGAAUUGGGACCUGUCGGCGUAAGUCGACUGUCCUGAAAUGCAUUAGCCUUGAAUGCGAUCGUCGCAACUAAGCGUGAUAAACUUUGUCUUCGCUGAAAGCGUUCGUUCGGGACGGGCUCAUAGAAACCCAUACUUUUUCAC